AACGAACGCUGGCGGCAGGCUUAACACAUGCAAGUCGAACGCCCCGCAAGGGGAGUGGCAGACGGGUGAGUAACGCGUGGGAACGUGCCCUUCGCUUCGGAAUAGCCCCCGGGGAAACUGGGAGUAAUACCGGAUACGCCGUAUUGGGAAAGAUUUAUCGGCGAAGGAUCGGCCCGCGUUAGAUUAGCUAGUUGGCGGUGUAAUGGACCACCAAGGCUACGAUCUAUAGCUGGUCUGAGAGGAUGAUCAGCCACACUGGGACUGAGACACGGCCCAGACUCCUACGGGAGGCAGCAGUGGGGAAUCUUGGACAAUGGGCGAAAGCCUGAUCCAGCCAUGCCGCGUGAGUGAAGAAGGCCUUAGGGUUGUAAAACUCUUUCGCCGGUAGAAGAUAAUGACGGUAUCCGGAGAAGAAGCCCCGGCUAACUUCGUGCCAGCAGCCGCGGUAAU
Molecule: ribosomal RNA, 450 nt
Filed under: uncultured bacterium
Lineage: Bacteria
Description: bacterial SSU rRNA
Rfam family: Bacterial small subunit ribosomal RNA
Source: RNAcentral